RNAcentral lists this long non-coding RNA (263 nucleotides) under Bos taurus (domestic cattle). RNAcentral describes it as "long non-coding RNA NONBTAT017170". Lineage: Eukaryota; Metazoa; Chordata; Mammalia; Artiodactyla; Bovidae. The record is from RNAcentral.
GUAAAAUACUACGAUUCUAAUACAGUACUGUUCUUUAGUCUGGGGCCUUUACUAGAAGGACUGCACACAAUGUGGUUGUAAAAGGUGUGGUGCGUAGUAGAUACACAUCACAUAUUAGGCUGGAUGAAUGGCAAGGUAAAUAAAUAUACGGUAAUUGGCUUAAAGUAUAAGCUGACUUACUCUCUGAUUUACAAACGUUUGGCAUUUCUCAACUAGUGGUUAUGAAAAUUGUAUGUAACCUCUGGGCAAAAUAAACAGAUUUG